GUUUAGGGGUAAACCUGAGAAACCCGAAAGGUCGAAGGGAGAAAUUCAUUCGCGUUUCGCCGCAGGCGUGGAACGGUCGUGUGACGGAAAGCGUUCGCGUUUUCCGCGCCUUCAGUUCUUCGAUCCGGCAGCGAACGCGUGCACUUUUCUCCUGGUAGGACGUCGCGAUCCGUUGGGUGUCGGUCUACGGCUCGCGGUGGAGCCCGUUCGUCGUAUUYRUACGUACGAGCGGACCCGUGUGUCCCGGCCGACUCGCUCGACGGUAUACGAAAGGUUUAAGGCCGCUCUUGGAGCGUUCGACUCGCGGCAAGCGCGCUAGAUGCGUCGGCCAUCGGACCUGGUGCCGAUUCUGACCUCUGGUGACUGUUGGCUGCGAAGUUCUCGAACAGACCUCAGACCGAUYUGCGACGCUAUAGCUUUGGGUAAUUUCAGGACCCGUCUUGAAACACGGACCAAGGAGUCUAGCAUGUGCGCGAGUCAUUGGGAAUCACUAAACCUAAAGGCGCAAUGAAAGUAAAGGUUCUCCUUGCGAGAACCGAGGGAGGACGGGCAGUUUACCCUUAAAAGUGGCUGCUCCGCACUCCCGGGGCGUCUCAUUCUCAUCGCGAGAAGAGGCGCACCAAGAGCGUACACGCUGGGACCCGAAAGAUGGUGAACUAUGCCUGGUCAGGACGAAGUCAGGGGAAACCCUGAUGGAGGUCCGUAGCGAUUCUGACGUGCAAAUCGAUCGUCGGAACUGGGUAUAGGGGCGAAAGACUAAUCGAACCAUC
RNAcentral lists this ribosomal RNA (770 nucleotides) under Sibinia sp. BHJ-2011. Its description in RNAcentral is "eukaryotic LSU rRNA". It matches the Rfam family "Eukaryotic large subunit ribosomal RNA", at positions 407 to 944 of the family's 3401-position model. Lineage: Eukaryota; Metazoa; Arthropoda; Insecta; Coleoptera; Curculionidae. The record is from RNAcentral.